AGCGAACGCUGGCGGCAGGCCUAACACAUGCAAGUCGAACGAACUCUUCGGAGUUAGUGGCGGACGGGUGAGUAACACGUGGGAACGUGCCUUUGGGUUCGGAAUAACUCAGGGAAGCUUGUGCUAAUACCGAAUGUGCCCUUCGGGGGAAAGAUUUAUCGCCUUUAGAGCGGCCCGCGUCUGAUUAGCUAGUUGGUGAGGUAACGGCUCACCAAGGCGACGAUCAGUAGCUGGUCUGAGAGGAUGGCCAGCCACACUGGGACUGAGACACGGCCCAGACUCCUACGGGAGGCAGCAGUGGGGAAUCUUGCGCAAUGGGCGAAAGCCUGACGCAGCCAUGCCGCGUGAAUGAUGAAGGUCUUAGGAUUGUAAAAUUCUUUCACCGGGGACGAUAAUGACGGUACCCGGAGAAGAGGCCCCGGCUAACUUCGUGCCAGCAGCCGCCGCCG
This 449-nucleotide ribosomal RNA is filed under the name uncultured bacterium. Its description in RNAcentral is "partial 16S ribosomal RNA". It matches the Rfam family "Bacterial small subunit ribosomal RNA", at positions 29 to 523 of the family's 1533-position model. The record is from RNAcentral.